RNAcentral lists this transfer RNA (73 nucleotides) under Bos indicus x Bos taurus (hybrid cattle). It matches the Rfam family "tRNA". From Rfam's summary of the family: Transfer RNA (tRNA) molecules are approximately 80 nucleotides in length. The record is from Rfam by way of RNAcentral. Lineage: Eukaryota; Metazoa; Chordata; Mammalia; Artiodactyla; Bovidae.
UCCCUGGUGGUCCAAAGGUUAAGACUCUGCAUUUCCAAAGCAGGGGGCCUAGGUUUGAUGCCCAGUGGGGGAA